GCGGGUGUGGCGGAAUUGGCAGACGCGCAGGUUUUAGGUACCUGUGUCUUCGGACGUGGGAGUUCAAGUCUCCCCACCCGCA
Molecule: transfer RNA, 82 nt
Filed under: Actinomycetes bacterium
Lineage: Bacteria; Bacillati; Actinomycetota; Actinomycetes
Description: tRNA-Leu
Rfam family: tRNA
About the family: Transfer RNA (tRNA) molecules are approximately 80 nucleotides in length. Their secondary structure includes four short double-helical elements and three loops (D, anti-codon, and T loops). Further hydrogen bonds mediate the characteristic L-shaped molecular structure. tRNAs have two regions of fundamental functional importance: the anti-codon, which is responsible for specific mRNA codon recognition, and the 3' end, to which the tRNAs corresponding amino acid is attached (by aminoacyl-tRNA synthetases). tRNAs cope with the degeneracy of the genetic code in two manners: having more than one tRNA (with a specific anti-codon) for a particular amino acid; and 'wobble' base-pairing, i.e. permitting non-standard base-pairing at the 3rd anti-codon position.
Source: RNAcentral